AACGGCCAUACCAUGCUGAAUUUACCGGUUCUCGUUAGAUCACCGAAGUCAAGCAUCAUUGGGCGCGGUCAGUACUUGGGUGGGUGACCACCUGGGAACACCGCGUGCCGUU
RNAcentral lists this ribosomal RNA (112 nucleotides) under Caerostris darwini. The record is from RNAcentral. Lineage: Eukaryota; Metazoa; Arthropoda; Arachnida; Araneae; Araneidae.